RNAcentral lists this ribosomal RNA (493 nucleotides) under Escherichia coli. Its description in RNAcentral is "bacterial SSU rRNA". It matches the Rfam family "Bacterial small subunit ribosomal RNA", at positions 1052 to 1533 of the family's 1533-position model. The record is from RNAcentral. Lineage: Bacteria; Pseudomonadati; Pseudomonadota; Gammaproteobacteria; Enterobacterales; Enterobacteriaceae.
UCGUCAGCUCGUGUUGUGAAAUGUUGGGUUAAGUCCCGCAACGAGCGCAACCCUUAUCCUUUGUUGCCAGCGGUCCGGCCGGGAACUCAAAGGAGACUGCCAGUGAUAAACUGGAGGAAGGUGGGGAUGACGUCAAGUCAUCAUGGCCCUUACGACCAGGGCUACACACGUGCUACAAUGGCGCAUACAAAGAGAAGCGACCUCGCGAGAGCAAGCGGACCUCAUAAAGUGCGUCGUAGUCCGGAUUGGAGUCUGCAACUCGACUCCAUGAAGUCGGAAUCGCUAGUAAUCGUGGAUCAGAAUGCCACGGUGAAUACGUUCCCGGGCCUUGUACACACCGCCCGUCACACCAUGGGAGUGGGUUGCAAAAGAAGUAGGUAGCUUAACCUUCGGGAGGGCGCUUACCACUUUGUGAUUCAUGACUGGGGUGAAGUCGUAACAAGGUAACCGUAGGGGAACCUGCGGUUGGAUCACCUCCUUACCUUAAAGAAGC